ACGGGAGGCAGCAGUGGGGAAUUUUGCGCAAUGGGCGAAAGCCUGACGCAGCAACGCCGCGUGAGCGAUGAAGGCCUUCGGGUCGUAAAGCUCUUUCGACGGGAAGGAAAGGCCAGUGGCCAGCGACCACGGGUUUGACAGUACCCGGAGAAGAAGCACCGGCUAACUCUGUGCCAGCAGCCGCGGUAAUACAGAGGGUGCGAGCGUUGUUCGGAAUUAUUGGGCGUAAAGCGCGUGUAGGCGGCGGAUCAGGUCGGGUGUGAAAGCCCUCGGCUCAACCGGGGAAGUGCGCCCGAAACCGAUCUGCUGGAGUGCCGGAGAGGAUGGCGGAAUUCCGGGUGUAGAGGUGAAAUUCGUAGAUAUCCGGAGGAACACCGGUGGCGAAGGCGGCCAUCUGGACGGACACUGACGCUGAGACGCGAGAGCGUGGGUAGCAAACAGGAUUAGAUACCCUGGUA
This 458-nucleotide ribosomal RNA is filed under the name uncultured Archangiaceae bacterium. Its description in RNAcentral is "partial 16S ribosomal RNA". It matches the Rfam family "Bacterial small subunit ribosomal RNA", at positions 341 to 792 of the family's 1533-position model. Lineage: Bacteria; Pseudomonadati; Myxococcota; Myxococcia; Myxococcales; Archangiaceae. The record is from RNAcentral.